GGGGGCGAUCUGGAAUCGACCGGAUAAAUGAAGAUCUUGGUGGCAUGUCGUGGUUGAUCGGUUGGCCACGUAAAAAGCCGGUUAAAAAAAGUAACUGCAGAGGAAAACCUCGCACUAGCAGCCUAGUUUAGGCAGCUCAGGUACCCAGGACCCGCCGGAGGCGCUGGAAUACCUGUCGCAAUUCCGGACCGCAUUAUCCCGUGUCUCGCACGGAUGAUGUUAAAAAAGCUCGAGGCUGGCGCACCGCACCGAGGUCAACAACGAACGUGGUGGGCGAGACAAAGACUAGUUGGCUAAACAUGUAGAGGCCGGAUUGGAAGUAUCGCGGGACGGGGGUUCAAUUCCCCCCGCCUCCAUUA
This 359-nucleotide transfer-messenger RNA is filed under the name Planctomycetota bacterium. It matches the Rfam family "transfer-messenger RNA". Rfam says of the family: Bacterial tmRNA, also known as 10Sa RNA or SsrA, is named for its dual tRNA and mRNA-like properties. Its role is to liberate the mRNA from a stalled ribosome. To accomplish this part of the tmRNA is used as a reading frame that ends in a translation stop signal. The record is from RNAcentral. Lineage: Bacteria; Pseudomonadati; Planctomycetota.